Molecule: ribosomal RNA, 254 nt
Filed under: uncultured bacterium
Lineage: Bacteria
Description: partial 16S ribosomal RNA
Rfam family: Bacterial small subunit ribosomal RNA
Source: RNAcentral
UACGGAGGAUCCAAGCGUUAUCCGGAAUUACUGGGCGUAAAGAGUUGCGUAGGUGGCAUGGUAAGUUGCUAGUGAAAGCGUUCGGCUCAACCGAAUAUACAUUAGCAAAACUGCCAAGCUAGAGGACGAGAGAGGUAAUUGGAAUUCCUAGUGUAGGAGUGAAAUCCGUAGAUAUUAGGAGGAACACCGAUGGCGUAGGCAGAUUACUGGCUCGUUCCUGACACUAAGGCACGAAAGCGUGGGGAGCAAACGGG